CAGAAGUUUAAAGAAGAUCAGACUUAUGAAGGAAAAGGAAUGAAAUAUCUACUUGAAAAAAAGAACUUUUCAGUACAAGAGCAAAUUCAAGGACGAUUGAGCAUGUUGAUUACUCCAUAUCCAAGAAUGAAGGUUGGAUUACCAUUUUGUAUUAGCUACUGGAACAUGAAGAGGCUGGGCACAUCAGUGGCAGGUAGACACAGACGAC
Long non-coding RNA from Alligator sinensis (Chinese alligator), 208 nucleotides. RefSeq lists it as uncharacterized. Lineage: Eukaryota; Metazoa; Chordata; Crocodylia; Alligatoridae. The record is from RefSeq and is a predicted model, not a curated record. The transcript has 3 exons.